Molecule: ribosomal RNA, 301 nt
Filed under: uncultured bacterium
Lineage: Bacteria
Description: partial 16S ribosomal RNA
Rfam family: Bacterial small subunit ribosomal RNA
Source: RNAcentral
CAGUAGCCACGGUAGUACGAAGGGUGCAAGCGUUACUCGGAAUUACUGGGCGUAAAGCGUGCGUAGGUGGUGGUUUAAGUCCGUUGUGAAAGCCCUGGGCUCAACCUGGGAAUUGCAGUGGAUACUGGAUCACUAGAGUGUGGUAGAGGAUAGUGGAAUUUCCGGUGUAGCAGUGAAAUGCGUAGAGAUCGGAAGGAACAUCUGUGGCGAAGGCGACUAUCUGGGCCAACACUGACACUGAGGCACGAAAGCGUGGGGAGCAAACAGGAUUAGAUACCCGCGUAGUCCCUGUCUCUUAUAC